UGGGGGAUCGUCUAAAGGUAGGACGUCGCGCCCUGAACGCGAUAAUUGGGGUUCGAGUCCCUGUCCCCCAGCCA
This 74-nucleotide transfer RNA is filed under the name Patescibacteria group bacterium. RNAcentral describes it as "tRNA-Gln". It matches the Rfam family "tRNA". From Rfam's summary of the family: Transfer RNA (tRNA) molecules are approximately 80 nucleotides in length. The record is from RNAcentral.